CCUACGGGCGGCAGCAGUGAGGAAUAUUGGUCAAUGGACGAGAGUCUGAACCAGCCUAGUAGCGUGAAGGAUGACUGCCCUAUGGGUUGUAAACUGCUUUUAUAAAAGAAUAAAACGAGGCACGUGUGCCUUUUUGCAUGUACUGUAUGAAUAAGGAUCGGCUAACUCCGUGCCAGCAGCCGCGGUAAUACGGAGGAUCCGAGCGUUAUCCGGAUUUAUUGGGUUUAAAGGGAGCGUAGGUGGGUGGUUAAGUCAGUUGUGAAAGUUUGCGGCUCAACCGUAAAAUUGCAAUUGAUACUGGCAGGCUGGAGAACAGUUGAGGUAGGCGGAAUGCGUGGUGUAGCGGUGAAAUGCUUGGAUAUCACGAAGAACCCCGAUUGCGAAGGCAGCUUACUAAACUGUGACUGACAUUGAUGCUCGAAAGUGUGGGUAUCAAACAGGAUUAGAUACCCCUGUAGUC
Molecule: ribosomal RNA, 460 nt
Filed under: uncultured bacterium
Lineage: Bacteria
Description: partial 16S ribosomal RNA
Rfam family: Bacterial small subunit ribosomal RNA
Source: RNAcentral